Molecule: long non-coding RNA, 2206 nt
Organism: Numida meleagris (helmeted guineafowl)
Lineage: Eukaryota; Metazoa; Chordata; Aves; Galliformes; Numididae
Source: Ensembl
GAAGAACAAAACACGUGAACUCUAGGUUCCUUGGAAGGUUAUGUUUCUAGGAGUCUUUUGGAUCAGUAAUUUCUUUUCUCUGUGAUGAAUUAACUCCAUGUUGUUCUCAUUGCACCUUAUGGACAAGUCAGUCUCACCUUAUGGACAAAUUUGUGCAUCAAUGAAUUGAGUCCCGUGUGACUAUUUCAAGACAAGAGAUGUAAGCCAUGGCUGGAUGCUGUGGCAAUAGCCACCUGCCUGAUGUCUCUGGAAGCUCUUCUUGGAUUUGUCUGGCAGGCUUGGAAUCCAUCCAGGGGAUGCAUGGAGCCAGCUGAGGAUGACAUUGUGGUCCAGCUGAAUAUGUCUGCUACCAAAACAGUUCUUCAGAGUCACCUGGAAGCCUCACAGGGAGCUAAAUGCUGGACACCCACAGAAGCCCUUCCCAUCCUGCCUGCCUGGAGGUUCUGCAGCAUCCCACAUCCUGCUGUCACAGCCCUUGUUACAUAAUGUCUGCUGCUGCCCAUCACUUCAACAAGCCUUAGACUCUGCAGCCUUGAAAGGAGUGUGCUUGCGAGAGCAGAAAAUCUGGCAGAUUAUUCCAGCAUUAUAUCCCUUCUUCCUGUUUUUAAACAUUUAAUCAUAAUUGCUAUUCUGUAUCACGAUUCUGCAGCACAAGAGCACACUGGGUGAUGCAACUUGUGUCUACUUGGCCUCCAUCUGUACGUCCUUGCAUCGCACUGAUUUGCUGCUUCUUGUCUUCUCUCCAAGUGCAGUCUCAGCUUGAGUGAAGCCAAUGUCUCUAUUACUGCUGGAACAGAAGCAAAAGAAAAAAAAGACCAGCAGCAACAGAAAGAAAAAGACACUGGACAUGCGUGUAUCUUAAUUGUCAGUAUAAUGAAGCCAGUAUGAUAAUGAUUUUACUGCUUUAAUCCCUGUCUGCUCUGCUGUUGCCUGUGGUAAUUUUAUUAUUUUUUGAACUUACUCCUUGGUGUUGCUCCUGCCUGCAGCUGCUAUGGAAGUGAGUAUGACUUCUUCUGCUUUACAGACUCAUUGGCAUUCACCAGCGCUUGCAGAAACCAAAAACACAUACGACAAGGAUAAAGUUCUAAACUCACAUUCAUUUUUUUUUAAAGCUCAGCUAAUGAUCUCUUUAACCUAACUAUGUUUAAACAUAAAAGUGGCAUCCUCCUUGUCAAUCAAGGGUGCCUUGAUUAAUAAUCAUUAUUAAUGAAAAUUAGCAUAAUUUUACUUUAUUAAAAUUUACCCUGCUAGUGCCGCUAUCACUUAGACUGUAAUAACACAGAGAAGUGCCCCUCCUAUGACAGGCACAGUUUGCCAUUUCCCAGAUUCAAGGCCAUGGAACGACUGCUUCUGAAUGUGACCAGAUUGCCUGUAAUACGGGAAGGGCACUGCUGGCAUGGUGAUACCAACAGUGCAAGUGCCCUUUUCUUCUGGUGGCAAAGACAUCUGGAGGGACUGUGGUCACUCUACCCUGCCUAACGCUUUGUGGGUUUCAUUUGGGCAAUGUGUCCAAAUGUCAGUGUGAUAAGGUGAAGCAUCACUCUCUUGAAUGGAGGCAGCUGAAGGUCGCUUAACUCUCCUUUCCUCUCCUGCCUUCAGUGAUAGAACUCUUUGACACUGACUACUCUUUGAUCUCACCAGAUCUGGUGGUGGGAUGUAGAAGAAAGAAGAAAGAACAAAAACAAAGAGCAUCUCUAUUAGAACAAGAACAUGGGAUGAAACUCUUUAGAUCUACUCUGAAAAGAAAGUGCUCCAGUGACGGCUGCUUUGGUAAUUUUUAGACAGAAACCAUGAAGAUCAGUCAGUGCUGUGAGAAUGCGAACACUGAUGUUUGAAUUUUCUGCAGACAAGAAAAUAUUAAUCUCUUGUUUUCUUGGAAAAGGGAAAUGGUUCAAUUUUUAUAUGAAAGAGAAACUCAACUUUUAGCAUUCUGUAUAAACAAAUGUAAGCCCCACUGAAUUUUGGCAGAUAAAUUAUGCCCUUUGAUUGUCAUGUCACACUUUUAUCUACUAAGGCACAUUGAUUUAAAACAUUGUUACCAGAACAUACUGUAUACUUAUUUUGUUUAGUUCUGUUUUCUGAGAUCAUUUAUCAAAGUGAUGUGUAUUACAGAAAACUGCAAAACAUGUAGGACAACUUCAAGUUUGCAGACACAUUUGUAGAGCUGCUUGAAUGAAGAAUAAAAAAAAAAUCUGACUUUUUCUCA